Molecule: ribosomal RNA, 253 nt
Filed under: uncultured microorganism
Description: partial 16S ribosomal RNA
Rfam family: Bacterial small subunit ribosomal RNA
Source: RNAcentral
UACGUAGGGGGCGAGCGUUACCCGGAUUUACUGGGCGUAAAGGGUGCGUAGGCGGCCGUGAAAGUCCGGUGUGAAAACUCACGGCUCAACCGUGGGACUGCGCUGGAAACUACACGGCUUGAGGACGGUAGAGGGAGACGGAACUGCUGGUGUAGGGGUGAAAUCCGUAGAUAUCAGCAGGAACGCCGGUGGAGAAGUCGGUCUCCUGGGCCGUUCCUGACGCUGAGGCCCGAAAGCUAGGGGAGCAAACCGG